RNAcentral lists this ribosomal RNA (498 nucleotides) under uncultured Glomeromycotina. RNAcentral describes it as "partial small subunit ribosomal RNA". It matches the Rfam family "Eukaryotic small subunit ribosomal RNA", at positions 591 to 1092 of the family's 1831-position model. Lineage: Eukaryota; Fungi; Glomeromycota. The record is from RNAcentral.
CCAAUAGCGUAUAUUAAAGUUGCUGCAGUUAAAAAGCUCGUAGUUGAAUUUCGGGAUCAACAUGUCGGUCGUGCCUCGGUACGUACUGGCUUAUUGGUUUCUCCCUUCUGACGAACCAUGAUGUCAUUUAUUUGGUGUUGUGGGAAAUCAGGACUGUUACUUUGAAAAAAUUAGAGUGUUUAAAGCAGGCUCACGCUUGAAUACAUUAGCAUGGAAUAAUGAAAUAGGACGUUUGAUUCUAUUUUGUUGGUUUCUAGGAUCGACGUAAUGAUUAAUAGGGAUAGUUGGGGGCAUUAGUAUUCAAUUGUCAGAGGUGAAAUUCUUGGAUUUAUUGAAGACUAACUACUGCGAAAGCAUUUGCCAAGGAUGUUUUCAUUAAUCAAGAACGAAAGUUAGGGGAUCGAAGACGAUCAGAUACCGUCGUAGUCUUAACCAUAAACUAUGCCGACUAGGGAUCGGAUGAUGUUAAUUUUUUAAUGACUCAUUCGGCGCCUUACG